UACAGAGGUCUCAAGCGUUGUUCGGAUUCAUUGGGCGUAAAGGGUGCGUAGGCGGCGCGGUAAGUCGGGUGUGAAAUCUCGGGGCUUAACUCCGAAACUGCAUUCGAUACUACCGUGCUUGAGGACUGGAGAGGAGACUGGAAUUUACGGUGUAGCGGUGAAAUGCGUAGAGAUGUGGAGGAACACCGAUGGCGAAGGCAGCCUCCUGGGCCAAUACUGACGCUCAUGCACGAAAGCGUGGGGAGCAAACAGG
Molecule: ribosomal RNA, 253 nt
Filed under: uncultured bacterium
Lineage: Bacteria
Description: partial 16S ribosomal RNA
Rfam family: Bacterial small subunit ribosomal RNA
Source: RNAcentral